This 229-nucleotide ribosomal RNA is filed under the name uncultured bacterium. RNAcentral's name for it is "partial 16S ribosomal RNA". It matches the Rfam family "Bacterial small subunit ribosomal RNA", at positions 524 to 751 of the family's 1533-position model. The record is from RNAcentral.
UACGAAGGGGGCUAGCGUUGCUCGGAAUUACUGGGCGUAAAGCGCACGUAGGCGGCUUUCUAAGUCGGGGGUGAAAUCCUGGAGCUCAACUCCAGAACUGCCUUCGAUACUGGAAAGCUCGAGUCCGGGAGAGGUGAGUGGAACUGCGAGUGUAGAGGUGAAAUUCGUAGAUAUUCGCAAGAACACCAGUGGCGAAGGCGGCUCACUGGCCCGGUACUGGACGCUGAGG